AUGGCUAGGAUUGAUUGUGCAUCAAAGGUGAACAUAGAUCUUUGCAAUAGAUUUUCUGUUGACCAUUAUCCUUUCCUACUUUGGGGCCCCCCACCAAAAUUUGCUAACACUAAGUGGGACCGGAAGCAAGAGAAAAGCAAACUAAAAUUGAUUGAUGAUGGAAGAACAGCAAAGCGUUUACUUAAGUGGAUAAAUAAGCAAAUGGAAAGCUUGUUCACUUUGGAUGACAAAAAAUAUGAGAACGAAAGUAUGCUUCCAAACAAUGUUUCAUAUCCCAAACAGGUUGUUCAAGCAAUUUACAAUGUUGCGGAAGCAACAGCUCAUGCAUUACAGAUAAUUUUUUAG
Molecule: ribosomal RNA, 345 nt
Filed under: Triticum aestivum (bread wheat)
Lineage: Eukaryota; Viridiplantae; Streptophyta; Magnoliopsida; Poales; Poaceae
Description: partial small subunit ribosomal RNA
Source: RNAcentral